Molecule: long non-coding RNA, 708 nt
Filed under: Oryza sativa Indica Group (long-grained rice)
Lineage: Eukaryota; Viridiplantae; Streptophyta; Magnoliopsida; Poales; Poaceae
Also listed under: 1 other name
Description: lncRNA OsZS97_11G021070
Source: RNAcentral
ACACUUGCCAAUGUUACUAAUUUAAGUGCAGUUGAACUUAAAAGAAAGCCUGAUAGAGAGGUGUACGCUUCACUUUCUGCCGAGGAGAAAGAGGCUAAGCUUCAAAAUAACCGUGAUUAUAGACAGCGUAAGAAGGAGGCAAAAACAUCUCUAACCGGAACACUUGAUGACAUUACUAAUUUAAGUGCAAUCGAACUUGGAAGAAAGCGUGAUAAAGAGAUAAAGUUUGGUCAGUACGACCAAUACAACCAUUACCGUUGUGCUAUGGCCAGACAGUGGGAUCGGUCCUCUUCCAACUACAUACACGAUUAUUUGGUGCACUGGAAGGCGACGACGGCGGAGACGAUUGGCGGCAUUCGCUGGUGGGUGGAGCUCAGAGAAGCGGAGCGCGGGUCGAAGCCAGCCACGCUGGAGGUGUCCGCAGCGGCUGGUUGGAAGGAUCUUUUCCUCUCUUCUUGUGCACUUGGUGGAGUGGUCGAGCUCCAGAAGAGCCAAAGACGGAAAGAGGCAUUCAUUGAGGUAGGCAGCGCCAAGGUUGAAGCGAUGAGCGGGAGCGCCCGCCGAGGUUACAGAGUAUUCAUCGAGGCGACAUUAUAUAUCCGACCGACGACGACGAGAGCUAUACCGGCAUCUCGCCUAAGAGCGUUCAUCGACAGCAGGGUUGUCACCGAUCUAGAUCGAGCACAAAACAAGAAAACCAAGGAAUGA